CGGGCUGUAGCUCAGCCUGGUAGAGCACUGUUCUGGGGGAGCAGGGGUCGCAGGUUCAAAUCCUGUCAGCCCGA
This 74-nucleotide transfer RNA is filed under the name Thalassospira xiamenensis. RNAcentral describes it as "tRNA_Pro_GGG". It matches the Rfam family "tRNA". From Rfam's summary of the family: Transfer RNA (tRNA) molecules are approximately 80 nucleotides in length. Their secondary structure includes four short double-helical elements and three loops (D, anti-codon, and T loops). The record is from RNAcentral. Lineage: Bacteria; Pseudomonadati; Pseudomonadota; Alphaproteobacteria; Rhodospirillales; Thalassospiraceae.